CGCGCAAGCGGGACCACACUAAGGAGGUACGCGAAGCGAAUGUGGCACCACGUGACUCCUCUCUCACACUCUCAUUCUACAUAGCCUUCUCUUACUCUAUCUUUCUCUCGACAUCUUUCUUACUCUUUCGCCCCCUCUUUGUCACACUUACGUACGUGCUCUCCCUCCCCUCUUUCUACGAUCCUUAUUCGAACGACGCAGUUGCGCGUACCUACCGCCGGAGCAACUGCGUCGUAGGCUUCUCCGAGAACGAGAUCCGUGUAUCGCGUCGUUUCCUUGUCCGGCGACGACAUCGUCCAGCCACAGGACGAUCCCAGACACCGAUCUAUAUAGGCAACGCGACUUGCGAAGGAACGGCGUGGAAAUCGUGAAACGGCACCCACACACGAUUCAACGCAUUUGCAAAUGAAGCGAUCGGUAAGAGAACUUACCGGAAACGGCCUCGCAUGCAGCGUCAUGAAAGCAAUCUCUGACUGGACUUACCUGGAAAUCAAAGGAAACAAUUAUUAGGAAAAGUGAUUAAGUUGCACGAUUCGUUGUACGAUUUCAUUUAAAUUCAAAAGUAACAGGAGCAAAGUACGUUGGAUUUUGUUCGAAAAGUGAGAGCAGAAACACGAUGAGCGACCAGGAAGGAGAAAAAGAAGGGUAACAUGUAGAAAGACAGAGAAAGAAGCAGAGAGAAGGACGCGGUCUAGAUGAAAGCAGCCCAAAAGGGAGGUCGCCGCCCUUCCAGGAACCCUUAUAAAACUUGGACCCGAUCUUCCUAACACGCACGCUAAAAUGUUUCCAUACACGCUUGCUCGAGGUUCUCUCAACAAAAUUCUCUCUCUGAUGAUUGAAAUAAAAUAUUCUGUAGUUAUCCUUGUUAAUAAAAAAUGAAUUGAAAAUAUC
Molecule: long non-coding RNA, 891 nt
Organism: Osmia lignaria (orchard mason bee)
Lineage: Eukaryota; Metazoa; Arthropoda; Insecta; Hymenoptera; Megachilidae
Source: RefSeq, a predicted model, not a curated record